Molecule: long non-coding RNA, 454 nt
Organism: Rhopalosiphum maidis (corn leaf aphid)
Lineage: Eukaryota; Metazoa; Arthropoda; Insecta; Hemiptera; Aphididae
Exons: 4
Source: RefSeq, a predicted model, not a curated record
UUUAUAAUUGUUUGUACUAUGGAUCAUCGUCGAUAAAUAAUAUAAACUGUCUUUUCAUUCGUUUCCCAAAGAUCAAAGAAAAAACUUGUGGUUAAGUAAAUUAAACUUGACAAGUGUUGGCCAGUGGGAUAAAAUUUGUUCAAACCAUUUUAAAUCACAGGAUUAUUUUGUUCAUGGUUCCAAAAAAUGAUUAGUAUAUGAUGCAGUACCAACUCAAGAUGUUUUGAAAAAUAAAGAUGAAAAUGAUUCAAAUUAGGUUUAAUCACCAGAAACACCACUGUAUCAAUCUAAAAGAUACCUAACUGAUAAAUGUGAAACUAUUUUCGAGCUCAUCUGUAUCCCCUAGAAAAGUAUUCUGUUCUUCGUCAAGAUUUGGUGACUUGACUGAAGUAGAUUUUAGUACUCCUCGGAGAUCGAAAAAAAAUUUUCAAUUUGUCCAAACAGCAGUGUCAGA